This 392-nucleotide ribosomal RNA is filed under the name Alternaria sp. yj-1. RNAcentral describes it as "SSU rRNA". It matches the Rfam family "Eukaryotic small subunit ribosomal RNA", at positions 840 to 1229 of the family's 1831-position model. The record is from RNAcentral. Lineage: Eukaryota; Fungi; Ascomycota; Dothideomycetes; Pleosporales; Pleosporaceae.
UUUGUUGGUUUCUAGAGACGCCGCAAUGAUUAACAGGAACAGUCGGGGGCAUCAGUAUUCAGUUGUCAGAGGUGAAAUUCUUGGAUUUACUGAAGACUAACUACUGCGAAAGCAUUUGCCAAGGAUGUUUUCAUUAAUCAGUGAACGAAAGUUAGGGGAUCGAAGACGAUCAGAUACCGUCGUAGUCUUAACCGUAAACUAUGCCGACUAGGGAUCGGGCGAUGUUCUUUUUCUGACUCGCUCGGCACCUUACGAGAAAUCAAAGUUUUUGGGUUCUGGGGGGAUUAUGGUCGCAAGGCUGAAACUUAAAGAAAUUGACGGAAGGUCACCACCAGGCGUGGAGCCUGCGGCUUAAUUUGACUCAACACGGGGAAACUCCCAGGGGUCCAGAA